Molecule: ribosomal RNA, 430 nt
Filed under: uncultured Acidobacterium sp.
Lineage: Bacteria; Pseudomonadati; Acidobacteriota; Terriglobia; Terriglobales; Acidobacteriaceae
Description: bacterial SSU rRNA
Rfam family: Bacterial small subunit ribosomal RNA
Source: RNAcentral
AACGCGAAGAACCUUACCUGGGCUCGAACGGCUUUGGAUCGACGGUGGAAACACUGUUUUCCCGCAAGGGACCGGAGUCGAGGUGCUGCAUGGCUGUCGUCAGCUCGUGUCGUGAGAUGUUGGGUUAAGUCCCGCAACGAGCGCAACCCUUGUCCUGUGUUGCCACUCCCGUAAGGGAAGCACUCUCAGGAGACCGCCAGCGAUAAGUUGGAGGAAGGUGGGGAUGAUGUCAAGUCAUCAUGGCCUUUAUGUCCAGGGCUACACACGUGCUACAAUGGUCGGUACAAAGCGCUGCAAACCCGCGAGGGGGAGCUAAUCGCAAAAAGCCGGCCUCAGUUCGGAUUGCAGGCUGCAACUCGCCUGCAUGAAGCUGGAAUCGCUAGUAAUGCCGUAUCAGAAUGAUGGCGUGAAUACGUUCCCGGGCCUUGUA